AAAUUGAAGAGUUUGAUCAUGGCUCAGAUUGAACGCUGGCGGCAGGCCUAACACAUGCAAGUCGAACGGUAACAGGAAGCAGCUUGCUGCUUUGCUGACGAGUGGCGGACGGGUGAGUAAUGUCUGGGAAACUGCCUGAUGGAGGGGGAUAACUACUGGAAACGGUGGCUAAUACCGCAUAACGUCGCAAGACCAAAGAGGGGGACCUUCGGGCCUCUUGCCAUCAGAUGUGCCCAGAUGGGAUUAGCUUGUUGGUGAGGUAACGGCUCACCAAGGCGACGAUCCCUAGCUGGUCUGAGAGGAUGACCAGCCACACUGGAACUGAGACACGGUCCAGACUCCUACGGGAGGCAGCAGUGGGGAAUAUUGCACAAUGGGCGCAAGCCUGAUGCAGCCAUGCCGCGUGUAUGAAGAAGGCCUUCGGGUUGUAAAGUACUUUCAGCGGGGAGGAAGGUGUUGUGGUUAAUAACCACAGCAAUUGACGUUACCCGCAGAAGAAGCACCGGCUAACUCCGUGCCAGCAGCCGCGGUAAUACGGAGGGUGCAAGCGUUAAUCGGAAUUACUGGGCGUAAAGCGCACGCAGGCGGUCUGUCAAGUCGGAUGUGAAAUCCCCGGGCUCAACCUGGGAACUGCAUUCGAAACUGGCAGGCUUGAGUCUUGUAGAGGGGGGUAGAAUUCCAGGUGUAGCGGUGAAAUGCGUAGAGAUCUGGAGGAAUACCGGUGGCGAAGGCGGCCCCCUGGACAAAGACUGACGCUCAGGUGCGAAAGCGUGGGGAGCAAACAGGAUUAGAUACCCUGGUAGUCCACGCCGUAAACGAUGUCUACUUGGAGGUUGUGCCCUUGAGGCGUGGCUUCCGGAGCUAACGCGUUAAGUAGACCGCCUGGGGAGUACGGCCGCAAGGUUAAAACUCAAAUGAAUUGACGGGGGCCCGCACAAGCGGUGGAGCAUGUGGUUUAAUUCGAUGCAACGCGAAGAACCUUACCUGGUCUUGACAUCCACGGAAGUUUUCAGAGAUGAGAAUGUGCCUUCGGGAACCGUGAGACAGGUGCUGCAUGGCUGUCGUCAGCUCGUGUUGUGAAAUGUUGGGUUAAGUCCCGCAACGAGCGCAACCCUUAUCCUUUGUUGCCAGCGGUUAGGCCGGGAACUCAAAGGAGACUGCCAGUGAUAAACUGGAGGAAGGUGGGGAUGACGUCAAGUCAUCAUGGCCCUUACGACCAGGGCUACACACGUGCUACAAUGGCGCAUACAAAGAGAAGCGACCUCGCGAGAGCAAGCGGACCUCAUAAAGUGCGUCGUAGUCCGGAUUGGAGUCUGCAACUCGACUCCAUGAAGUCGGAAUCGCUAGUAAUCGUGGAUCAGAAUGCCACGGUGAAUACGUUCCCGGGCCUUGUACACACCGCCCGUCACACCAUGGGAGUGGGUUGCAAAAGAAGUAGGUAGCUUAACCUUCGGGAGGGCGCUUACCACUUUGUGAUUCAUGACUGGGGUGAAGUCGUAACAAGGUAACCGUAGGGGAACCUGCGGUUGGAUCACCUCCUUACCUGAAAGAAGC
RNAcentral lists this ribosomal RNA (1554 nucleotides) under Salmonella enterica subsp. enterica serovar Derby. RNAcentral's name for it is "bacterial SSU rRNA". It matches the Rfam family "Bacterial small subunit ribosomal RNA". RNAcentral also lists the same sequence under 1 other name. Lineage: Bacteria; Pseudomonadati; Pseudomonadota; Gammaproteobacteria; Enterobacterales; Enterobacteriaceae. The record is from RNAcentral.